RNAcentral lists this ribosomal RNA (467 nucleotides) under Bombus terrestris (buff-tailed bumblebee). RNAcentral describes it as "partial 16S ribosomal RNA". Lineage: Eukaryota; Metazoa; Arthropoda; Insecta; Hymenoptera; Apidae. The record is from RNAcentral.
UCUGCCCAAUGAUUUUAAAUAAUUAAAUGGCUGCGGUAUAAUUGACUGUACAAAGGUAGCAUAAUCAAUUGUUUUUUAAUUAAAAACUGGAAUGAAAGAGUUAAUGAGAUAUACACUGCUCUCAUAUAUAUUAAAUUAAUUUAAAUUUUUAGUUAAAAUGCUAAAAUUAAUUUAUGGGACGAUAAGCACCCUAUAGAAUUUUAUAUUAAUAUUUUAAUUAUAAUUUUAUUAUUGAAUAUUAAUAUUUUGUUGGGAGGAUAGGUAAAUUUAUUAAACUUUAUUUUAAAUAUUAACUUUAUAUUAAAGAAUAUAUUUUGAUCUUUUAGUAAAAAUGAAAAGAGUAAAUUACCUUAGGGAUAACAGCGUAAUAUCUUUUUAAAGAUCUUAUUGAAAAAGAUGAUUGCGACCUCGAUGUUGAAUUAAGAUAAAUUUUAAAUGAAGAAAUUUAAUAAUUAAGUCUGUUCGAC